Molecule: ribosomal RNA, 217 nt
Filed under: uncultured bacterium
Lineage: Bacteria
Description: partial 16S ribosomal RNA
Rfam family: Bacterial small subunit ribosomal RNA
Source: RNAcentral
UAACCUGCCUCUUAGCGGGGGAUAACUAUUGGAAACGAUAGCUAAUACCGCAUAAAAGUCGAUAUCGCAUGAUGUUGACUUGAAAGGUGCAAAUGCAUCACUAAGAGAUGGACCUGCGUUGUAUUAGCUAGUUGGUGAGGUAACGGCUCACCAAGGCGACGAUACAUAGCCGACCUGAGAGGGUGAUCGGCCACACUGGGACUGAGACACGGCCCAG